ACCCGACUAUUUGUCUUUCUUUGCUCUUCUGGAUAACUGAUCAGAGUUGGAUGUCUGCAAUAUAAUCAAUAAAUUUUAAUUCUUAUCUGAAAAACUAACAUGGCACCCAUUCCAUUUCUAUUU
Non-coding RNA from Caenorhabditis elegans, 123 nucleotides. Lineage: Eukaryota; Metazoa; Nematoda; Chromadorea; Rhabditida; Rhabditidae. The record is from Ensembl.